Molecule: ribosomal RNA, 468 nt
Filed under: uncultured bacterium
Lineage: Bacteria
Description: partial 16S ribosomal RNA
Rfam family: Bacterial small subunit ribosomal RNA
Source: RNAcentral
GACGAACGCUGGCGGCGUGCUUAACACAUGCAAGUCGAACGGAAAGGCCCUGCUUUUGUGGGGUGCUCGAGUGGCGAACGGGUGAGUAACACGUGUGUAACCUGCCCUUGACUUUGGGAUAACUUCAGGAAACUGGGGCUAAUACCGGAUAGGAGCUCCUGCUGCAUGGUGGGGGUUGGAAAGUUUCGGCGGUUGGGGAUGGACUCGCGGCUUAUCAGCUUGUUGGUGGGGUAGUGGCUUACCAAGGCUUUGACGGGUAGCCGGCCUGAGAGGGUGACCGGCCACAUUGGGACUGAGAUGCGGCCCAGACUCCUACGGGAGGCAGCAGUGGGGAAUAUUGCACAAUGGGCGGAAGCCUGAUGCAGCAACGCCGCGUGCGGGAUGACGGCCUUCGGGUUGUAAACCGCUUUCGCCUGUGACGAAGCGUGAGUGACGGUAAUGGGUAAAGAAGCACCGGCUAACUACGUG